This 76-nucleotide transfer RNA is filed under the name Dehalococcoidia bacterium. RNAcentral describes it as "tRNA-Ala". It matches the Rfam family "tRNA". From Rfam's summary of the family: Transfer RNA (tRNA) molecules are approximately 80 nucleotides in length. Their secondary structure includes four short double-helical elements and three loops (D, anti-codon, and T loops). The record is from RNAcentral. Lineage: Bacteria; Bacillati; Chloroflexota; Dehalococcoidia.
GGGGGUGUAGCUCAGCUGGUAGAGCGCUUCGAUGGCAUCGAAGAGGUCAGGGGUUCGAGUCCCCUCUCCUCCACCA